CAGCCGUAAACUAUGCGCGUUAGGUGUAUCGGUGACCACGAGUUACCGAGGUGCCGAAGGGAAACCGUGAAACGUGCCGCCUGGGAAGUACGGUCGCAAGGCUGAAACUUAAAGGAAUUGGCGGGGGGAGCACCACAACAGGUGGAGCCUGCGGUUUAAUUGGACUCAACGCCGGGAAGCUCACCGGAUAGGGACAGCAGAAUGAUUGCCGGGCUGAAGACCCUGCAUGACUAGCUGAGAGGAGGUGCAUGGCGUAGUCGUGU
Molecule: ribosomal RNA, 263 nt
Filed under: uncultured archaeon
Lineage: Archaea
Description: partial 16S ribosomal RNA
Rfam family: Archaeal small subunit ribosomal RNA
Source: RNAcentral